GACGAACGCUGGCGGCGUGCUUAACACAUGCAAGUCGAACGGAAAGGCCCUGCUUUUGUGGGGUGCUCGAGUGGCGAACGGGUGAGUAACACGUGAGUAACCUGCCAUUGACUUUGGGAUAACUUCAGGAAACUGGGGCUAAUACCGGAUAGGAGCUCCUGCUGCAUGGUGGGGGUUGGAAAGUUUCGGCGGUUGGGGAUGGACUCGCGGCUUAUCAGCUUGUUGGUGGGGUAGUGGCUUACCAAGGCUUUGACGGGUAGCCGGCCUGAGAGGGUGACCGGCCACAUUGGGACUGAGGUACGGCCCAGACUCCUACGGGAGGCAGCAGUGGGGAAUAUUGCACAAUGGGCGGAAGCCUGAUGCAGCAACGCCGCGUGCGGGAUGACGGCCUUCGGGUUGUAAACCGCUUUCGCCUGUGACGAAGCGUGAGUGACGGUAAUGUGUAAAGAAGCACCGGCUAACUACGUG
This 468-nucleotide ribosomal RNA is filed under the name uncultured bacterium. Its description in RNAcentral is "partial 16S ribosomal RNA". It matches the Rfam family "Bacterial small subunit ribosomal RNA", at positions 28 to 507 of the family's 1533-position model. The record is from RNAcentral.